UGAAGCAGGACUGCACCUGUAAGUGUGACUAGGUAAUCCACCUGAAGCUAAACAGGUUUGGGCCUGGCCAGUACUUGAAUGGGAGACAAACCAGGAAAGCUGGGUUGCUGCUGGAA
This 116-nucleotide ribosomal RNA is filed under the name Paramormyrops kingsleyae. The record is from RNAcentral. Lineage: Eukaryota; Metazoa; Chordata; Actinopteri; Osteoglossiformes; Mormyridae.